This 254-nucleotide ribosomal RNA is filed under the name uncultured bacterium. RNAcentral's name for it is "partial 16S ribosomal RNA". It matches the Rfam family "Bacterial small subunit ribosomal RNA", at positions 524 to 776 of the family's 1533-position model. The record is from RNAcentral.
UACGGGGGGAGCAAGCGUUGUUCGGAUUUACUGGGCGUAAAGGGCGCGUAGGCGGCCACCGCAAGUCAGUUGUGAAAGCUCUGGGCUUAACCCAGAAAGGUCAGCUGAUACUGCGGGGCUAGAGUGCAGAAGGGGCAACUGGAAUUCUCGGUGUAGCGGUGAAAUGCGUAGAUAUCGAGAGGAACACCUGCGGCGAAGGCGGGUUGCUAGGCUGACACUGACGCUGAGGCGCGAAAGCCAGGGGAGCAAACGGG